Vespula vulgaris is the source of this 911-nucleotide long non-coding RNA. RefSeq lists it as uncharacterized. Lineage: Eukaryota; Metazoa; Arthropoda; Insecta; Hymenoptera; Vespidae. The record is from RefSeq and is a predicted model, not a curated record. The transcript is spliced from 3 exons.
CCCCUCUUUCUCUUUCCCUCUCUCGCUCUCUUCUCUCUCUCUCUCUUUCUCUCUCACGAGACUGGAAAGGGAGAGAGCAUGGUGGAACCGAGUGCCGAAUGUUACUGGGUAUCGCGUGUAUACGUAACUGUUUGUGUGAGAUCCGGAGAAAGAGAAAGGUCCGAGAGGGAAGAGAGAGAGGCAGAGAGAAAGAUAGAGUGAGGGAGUGAGAGAGAGAAGGAAGAGCGAUAGAGGGAGGAGAUGAGUCAAAGAGCUGGAGCCGGACAACGCAAGUCAAGCGGUAACGUGUAAGGAGAGACCUCGACGUGGGUGUAACCACUGGUGAACGUGUGUAUAUACACGAACAAGAGCGAGUCUCUACCGCGCAACGAGAUUGCAAAGAAACGAUUUGUGCAGAAACGAAAUGCCAUUUGUCGGUGUGCGCAAGGCGAGAGAGAACGGGGGAGAAGGAGAUCACAGAGAUGGGAGAAUGCAAGAGAGAGAGAGAGAGAGAGAGAGAGAAAAGGAACGAGGAGGGAGGAUCGUGCGAAAGCAACAGAGACGGAGUGAGCCAUAAAUGCAAUUGGAAACCUUUAGCGGAAAUAUCAUUGGAACAUCCGGUACUCUCCGCGCGAGCACGCACGUACGCGCGCGCGCGAAUAAAACUAUAUUAUAAUUGAAUCUUCUUAAAUCAUCUAAGAGUAGUCGAUACAACCGAGAAACUUCGGUACUAUCUGUUUAAAAAAAAAAAAAAAGAAAAAGAAAGGAACAAUAACUUUUGCAUCCGUACGUUUUAUCUUCCGACUCAGGUUGAAAAUUGACUCCCAUGCGAAAUGAUCCCUCAUGCGUGUGUUCUUUCGUUCUCUUGUAUGUAUUUCUUUCGGAGAAGCUCUUAAAUGACGAAAGGAAAUACAAGUUGGGGAGCAUUUUUU